GAUGAACGCUGGCGGCGUGCCUAAUACAUGCAAGUCGAGCGAACAGACGAGGAGCUUGCUCCUCUGACGUUAGCGGCGGACGGGUGAGUAACACGUGGAUAACCUACCUAUAAGACUGGGAUAACUUCGGGAAACCGGAGCUAAUACCGGAUAAUAUAUUGAACCGCAUUGUUCAAUAGUGAAAGACGGUUUUGCUGUCACUUAUAGAUGGAUCCGCGCCGCAUUAGCUAGUUGGUAAGGUAACGGCUUACCAAGGCAACGAUGCGUAGCCAACCUGAGAGGGUGCUCGGCCACACUGGAAAUGAGACACGGUCCAGACUCCUACGGGAGGCAGAAGUAGGGAAUCUUCCGCAAAGGGCGAAAGCCUGACGGAGAAACGCCGCGUGAGUGAUGAAGGUCUUCGGAUCGUAAAACUCUGUUAUUAGGGAAGAACAAAUGUGUAAGUAACUAUGCACGUCUUGACGGUACAUAAUCAGAAAGCCACGGCUAACUACGUG
This 497-nucleotide ribosomal RNA is filed under the name uncultured bacterium. RNAcentral's name for it is "partial 16S ribosomal RNA". It matches the Rfam family "Bacterial small subunit ribosomal RNA", at positions 28 to 507 of the family's 1533-position model. The record is from RNAcentral.